AAAGAUGUCUUCCCGAUCCCGCCUAGACCCGAAAUGGUGAGUAUGUCUACCGUAUGUGAGGAUCCAUCUUUCAACCAUGAAGUGAUGAAGUUAAUGGAAUAGUCCAUCCCAAUAAAUAGAGGUUGAGCACUUUUUAAGGGUACAUGUAAUCUACGGUAGAUGUCCUUCACAAUUUCUUCAAUAAACUCUGUCUCAAACCUGAAACUUGAUUUAAUAAGAAUUACAAAACACAAUCCAAAAAACUAACAAACCAGAUUUGUUGAUUUUAUUUUUAUAAAGAUCCAAAUCAAAAUUAUAUCACAAGUGUUAGUGUUAGAUAUUUGUAGAAUAGGGUUUGUUUUCUUUUAGGUUACUUUAUUUCUAUUUUCCUAUUUUAGGUAGUAGUUGGUUUAUAAAUGAAGGUUUAACCUCUUUAUUAAUGACAAGAUAAUAUUCCAAAAACCUGAUUCGUUCACAACAACUAUUAGUUUUAAACUUUUAAGUAAGUUCUUCACGUCAAACUAUAUUGUCUUUUCGUUCGAACCAUAUGCAUAUCUAAUGUGUAAGGUCAUAAAUAUUUAUGUAUAAUAAGACCAAAACUACCAGUGUAAUACAAGUUUUCACUAAUGGGCCUUGUAACUUCACUAAAUUUUCUACAAGACCGUCAAACUUGUACUUAACUAUCAAUGUGAUAAGUUUGAAAAAAAAAAAGCCAGUAGGUUAUCCUUUACUACUUACAAAAUAAGUUAUUUAUCAUAAAAGACGACCCAUUUAAAUAUACAGGUCACAGGUUGGCGGGUUUGGAACAUAAACCCAUAUAUGACCCACCAACCCAUUUAUUUAUACGGGUUCACAUGUUGGCGGGUUCGUGGGUCAGAUUUGGGUUUGUGGGUCCAAAUUUUAGAUAUUUAAGUCUUAAACAUCCAAAUGAAAAUUAAAAACAUUCAUAGAAACAUGUUAUAGACUUAUCCUUAUAGGUUACAACUUAUGACCUUAGACCAUCCACCACGAGUAAUAAUGUCAAAACAAUCAAAUGGUCUAUGAAUAAAUGGUAUAUAUUAUAUAAUACUUAUUAAAUAUUAAUACUUGAUACAUAAAUACAUUUAAAAAUAUAAAUAUUUUUUUUAUUAAGAAUAUAAACGGGUUGGCGGGUCAACCUGUUUAUUUUUUGAGAAACCCAUAUAUGACCCGUUUAAUAAACGGGUUGGCGGGUUGACGGGUUAGCGGGUUAGCAGGUUGAAAAACUCAACCUAAAUCUAUUUAUUUCGUGUCGUGUCGCGGGUUGUGUCGCGUGUCGUGUCGAGAAUUGCCAGCCCUAGCUGUAAAGGCAUAUCCCACAAAGUAACAUAAAAAAUGACAACCUUUGCAAUAAUUUUACUUCCAGAAAAGACAACUCAUGAAGAUUAUCUAUAUCUUUGUUGAUUUUGGUUCUCAAGAAUGAACAAUUAAAAAGCUAUUCUUAAAAUAACCAAUGAAAAAGAUAGAGAUUCCAAUAAGGUCUGUAUGAACAAGUAGCAGCAAAACAUUGAACCAUGAGAAUCAUAGCAACUCAGCAAUCACAUUUUAGUCUUUUCUUUCAAUCACAAUCAACAAAAUAACUAACAUAUAAAGUAAUAAAAACAACAUUACGACUUUACACGUGUAUUAAUCAACUGAAAAACCAUUUAUAUAGUUUUCCUCUGUUUUCGGCAAUCAAAUAUACAGCUAUCAAAAACAAUAACCAAAAAGAUAAAUCGUUACCAGAGGUGACAAAAACUAAACCAUCUUAAUUAUUCUGGAAAAGAUUAGGAUAUAACUCAUUGAGUUACCGUAGUAUUAGGUUACCCAUCUGCAGCCUCUCUUUCUCAAGUAUUUUCAUGUUAAGGACGAGAACCUGAAGAUUCCCCCUUAUCCUACGAAUAAAAGGAAACGUAAGAAUAUCUUUAAAGAAACAUAAGUACAUAGAGAUCUGAUACAAAAUGCUAUGAAAACAGAUAGAUGGCAAUACAAUACACCAAGAUCUCUUUGAGUUUGUUUGUACGUAUCUGUGACUCAGCUAAAUAAAUGUGGGGUAUGUUAAAGAAUAAUAUCAAAAGGAUCAGAACAUGUCCAUAAAAAUACAAGACUACAAUAAAACAAUUUUAAAGCAUCAGUUGUGGAGGCAUGUAACAGAAACGCUUGCUUGUUAGCAAGUUGAAAUGGCUUCAAGUGAAAAAAGAUAAAUAUUAAAUUUAUGUCUAUUCUUGGAGGUCAAAUGUAAACAGUGAGAAUUGUAAUCUAUACAGCUAAAGAUCUUAGGAAUAAAUACAUGAUGUUCAUGGAGAAGUAGCAUAACACUAAAAACUUAUUGGUUAAAGUCCAAUACAUGAUUAAGGGAAUUUAAUGACCUCUGGUAGUCAAAUAAUACUUCAAAGGUUAUAUAAACUUUAUUGGAGGAAAUACAAACUAUGAACCGAACCCUUGUGCAUUUGCUGUAUAUUAACCAAAAAUAAGGGCUGAGGAAAGUUGGGUUCCAAAAAAUGUGAUGAAAUUUUGGAUUUUCUUACAAAGAAGUUAACAUGUAUUUGACAAUAAUUGCUUAAGAUAUCAUGUAUUUGACAUAAAAAUAAACAUAAAUAAAUAAAACCAAAAGACCUUGAUAACAAGUAAAAACCCUGAAUUUAGAGCCCUAAAUGGAUGAAAUAGGGAUCCAUAAUUCCUGACUCUAAGAUUAAAUAGGUAGAGAAAAAUAGACAGAUUCCCAUCAUAUCAGCCCAACCACAUUUUGAUAUUGCCAUUUCCAAGCAUUGAUUGCAAGAUUAUGACUCCUUUUAUCUUGUUACAUCCUAAACAAAUCAAAGAUAUAGUAUAUAACAUACUUGGAUAUGUAUGCCCUUUAUUCAUGUAAUGAGAGAAAGGUUUGGGUGUCAAAAAGCAUACCUCACAUGCACGACCAAGUAUGUCAGGCUUCCUUGGGGAUAAAGCUCUGAACCAAUAUUCUUCCUUUUGAUCUGAAUACAGAUAAAAAGUUAUAUGUUAAUUAUUAUUCACAAACAUCAACUUGGACAAAGUAGUUUGUAUUGGUUCCUGAUAUAUUUAUGUGAUCCAACAUAUCAAGACUUAAUUAGAUAACAUAGACCCAUUCAGACAGAUCACUACUUGGGUUGAUUCAUUUAAAAUCACAUCUACCUUGACAGUCAGGGUCGUGUGCAACGAAUUUACGUUAUAUUUUACAAGAAGAAAAAAUUUGUCGUGGAAAUUUGAUUUGUUAUAUUUUACAAGAACAAACUCUUAUAAUAGAGGUCAAUAAAAUGAAUGAUAAAUGGGUGGGUGGAUUACAUUUAUUUAUCAACUAAAAAUAAAUGGGUCAUUAUCCAUCUUUCUAAAGAAGUUGGAUCAUGGGUCAUCUACCUUGAUAGUCGAGGCCGUCUGGAACAAAUUUACAAUGAUAUGAAGACACUGUAACAUCAUAAGGAAAAAACUGUGAUCUGUUUAAGAGGUAUUCUCCAGUUGUUGUUUGAAAAGGAGAGAGAUCUCCACCAAUUAUGUGAUUCCAUGACUUGUAAUAACCCAACACAUCUUCUUCUUCAUCCUUCUUCUCUCCAUCUUCAUACACAAGACUCACCCCACACUCCUUUACAAGUUCAUUAUAUGCUUCUGUAAGAGGUUCAGGCAACUGCGGUGUAACAGUGAUAGUAAUGUGGUCACCGGCCUCCAUCUCAUUCUUCCGAAACAUCCAAUGACUUAAUAUCACCCAAAAAUCCAGAAUUUCAUUAAAUCUGUCAAGGUAGCGUUCAUAUAUCCACGUACGGUUUUUUGUAAUAUUAGUAAUUGUCAUAAUUGGCAUCCAAGGCAAAAGGUCAUCAUCUGAUAAAUACAACUCCACAUCAAUAAGGUUUAAUGUGUGCAGAGAGCAGAUGUUGAGCCCUGUAAGGAUGUUGUUUGGAGAUGAUGAUGGGAUGGUAAAUGAUAUUACUGGCCCUACGCUUCUAUGCCUAAACCAACUCGGCAUCUCCUCCGCCUCAUACAUUGUGCUGAAUAUUCCAAAUUCAUAAUACAUCAUCUGCCAAAUACAAACCACCAUAAUAAUUACAUUAUAUGUCUUCACAUAAAUAAAGACAGUUAAGUUAACUAGACAAAACCUGGAUUUCAGAUUCUGAAGGAUUAGUUCCCACGUGCCUUUCGUUGAGGAAGUCUAAAUUAGUCCAGCCCAAGCUACGUAACACCUUUUCAUCAACACUCAUCAUUUCUUGGAUUUUGAUCAUACCUUCAACUUCGAAAUCGUUCAACUCAAGUGAAGAAUAUUUCCACUCUAACCAGUCCAUUGAUAACUGGAGUGGGGACAUUUCUGGAACAAAUACAACUUUGUUUGUAUGAUAAUGAUCAAUAGCAUUAAGAAACAACUUUUUUAGUGUACUUGGAGGAUACUCGACUGACUUCAAAUUUUUACACUUAUUCAUCCAAAGUAUCUCAAGUCUAGGAAGGGUUCUCACACAACUAGGCAUGGAAUUGAAAGGAUUGCCAUCUAAAUCUAAUUCCUUUAACAUGGAUAGGCAACUAAAGUCCAUGGGAAAGGAUUCAUUUGACAACUUGUUCUUUUUAAGUGAUAAUUUUACUAAAGACCUCGGUAAAGACAUUGCAAAGGACUUCAAAUCACGUGGUAUACAACCCAUAAAGGCUCUGUUUAUGCCAAUGUUGGUAACCGUGCACAUUUCCAGUGAAUCCAUAUCCAGAUUCUUGAUUCCAGAUUCACCAAGAUCACAACCAUCUAGCAACAUUGUUUUAACCUUCUUUAACAUGCCUAUAUUUCUUGGAAGUUUUUCAAGCUUCUUGCAGUAACUCAGAUCGAUGAGGAUAAGCUCAACACAUUGCCCAAUUGAUUCACAAACAUCAACCAAACCAAUGCAAUUUCUAAGUAUUAACCUCUCAAGUGCAGAGAGUUGGUCAAAGUCACCAACACUAUGAAGUUGUUCGCAGAAACUUAAAUUAAGAAUCUUCAGUGAAGCAAACAACCUUUUCUCUUUAAAGCACGAGCCAUCUAACUACAAAAUGGAAAUAAGUUAGUAUCGUAUUGAAUUUCAUCAACUCACAUGCAUGAAUAAUAAAUGAAGAUAACUUUACCCUUUGCCUCUUCUCAAGUCGUUGUGGAUUACUAUAACAACCGACAAAUGAUUCAAUAUUGCUAUAUGACAUGUCAAGAGCAACAAGAUUCUCUAUAGGUAAGUUUAAAGGUAUAGACUUUGAAUAAAACCCAUGCAUACAUAACCAUCUUAUUUCUUCUGGAAAGUUCUUAUAAGACCCAUGCAUGUGCACAUAAUUAAGUUGUAGUAUCAUAAGAUUAUCCAUGUUACUCAAGGCAUCUGUCUUCAGCUCAAAUGAUCCUCUCAACUUCUCUUUCUCAAGCAUGUACAUGUCAAGGGAAAGGCCUAGAAGAUUUCCCUUACCCUAAAAAGAAACAGAAUGCAAACAAACAAAUUAGGCAAUGCAAAUGUUUUCAUGGACAUGCACACUACUAAAAGCAUACAUGGCCUCGUACCUUUUUUUGUUUCAACACUCUGAAUGACUCCUUAUGACACCAUAAUCGACUUCGCUUCCAUGGCUUAUCAGGUGAUUCUUGAUGUACUUCGAAUCUGCCCAUCUCUUGAACCAACUGAUGCAUCUUCAAUUCAUUAUUCCGUCCAAUACUAAGAAGACAUUUAUCAAUGAGAUUCGUAAUUCCGGAUCUUGUGUUUAUAUCACAUGCCUCCAAUAUUGUUUCGCUAAGAUCUUUAUCUAUUCCAACAAAAAAACAAGCAAUAUGCUUAAACAAGUCCUUAUCGUUUUUGGAUGGCAAAGAGUUGAAGCUCAUUCUCAAGACAUUAUUUAUACGAUCAUUUGUUUCUUUCUUUAGCCCUUUCAUGCACCCUUCCCAAUACGCCACACCUCGAUUAUGAAGAACCUUGCCCAAAACUUCAAGAGCCAAUGGAUGUCCUUGACAAUACUCCAAAAGCUUAGCUGACACCUCUUCAUAACCUUCCUUGGGAUGGUUGCACAUGAAUGCAUGGGAACACAAAAGUUGUCGUGAUUCAGUCUCAUCUAAGCCUUCAAGGAAGUGUUCUACAUGCUUGGGUUUAAUGUUUGUUUUAAAUAGUGCACAACUCUCUGUUAAGCAUUUGUCCUUUGUUGUUAUUAUAACUUUGCUUCCGGGAUGAAAACCUUUGCUUCCAAGUAAUGCAUCCAACUGAUCAAUACUAUUGAUAUCAUCAAGAACAAGGAACAACCUUUUACGAGCUACUACGUUCUCUAUCAUUGAUGUGUAUUUUGAAACAUCAUAAACUUGAAUUGAACUUGUUUUUGAAAUGUCACCGCACAGUUGUUUUUGUAUAUCAAGUAGCCCAUUAUACUUUCCAUCACAUCUCCUAGUGAUAUCUUCAAUAUAGCUGCUUUUGUUGAAUUCAUGACAAUAUAGCCCAUAGACAUGUUUGGCUAAAGAUGUCUUCCCGAUCCCGCCUAGACCCGAAAUGGUGAGUAUGUCUACCGUAUGUGAGGAUCCAUCUUUCAACCAUGAAGUGAUGAAGUUAAUGGAAUAGUCCAUCCCAAUAAAUAGAGGUUGAGCACUUUUUAAGGGUACAUGUAAUCUACGGUAGAUGUCCUUCACAAUUUCUUCAAUAAACUCUGUCUCAAACCUGAAACUU
RNAcentral lists this long non-coding RNA (6611 nucleotides) under Lactuca sativa (garden lettuce). RNAcentral's name for it is "long non-coding RNA (LSAT_LNC000516)". Lineage: Eukaryota; Viridiplantae; Streptophyta; Magnoliopsida; Asterales; Asteraceae. The record is from RNAcentral.